This 245-nucleotide ribosomal RNA is filed under the name uncultured Anaerobranca sp. Its description in RNAcentral is "partial 16S ribosomal RNA". It matches the Rfam family "Bacterial small subunit ribosomal RNA", at positions 796 to 1041 of the family's 1533-position model. The record is from RNAcentral. Lineage: Bacteria; Bacillati; Bacillota; Clostridia; Eubacteriales; Proteinivoracaceae.
CUAGCCGUAAACGAUGGGUACUAGGUGUUGGGGGUGACAAUCCUCCAGUGCCGCAGUUAACGCAUUAAGUACCCCGCCUGGGGAGUACGGCCGCAAGGCUGAAACUCAAAGGAAUUGACGGGGGCCCGCACAAGCAGCGGAGCAUGUGGUUUAAUUCGAUGCAACGCGAAGAACCUUACCAGGGCUUGACAUCCUCUGAAGCUAUAAGAGAUUAUAGUGUCCCUUCGGGGCAGAGAGACAGGUGG